This 266-nucleotide long non-coding RNA is filed under the name Homo sapiens (human). Its description in RNAcentral is "non-protein coding lnc-ACD-2:1". Lineage: Eukaryota; Metazoa; Chordata; Mammalia; Primates; Hominidae. The record is from RNAcentral.
CGGGGACGUGCUGUUGCAACUCGAGGGGAUCUCCCUAGGUCCUGGGGCCUCUCUCAAGAGGAAGGACCCUAAGGACCAUGAGAAGGAGAACCUGAGGCGGAUCAGGGAGAUUCAGAAGCGCUUCAGAGAACAGGAGCGCAGCCGGGAGCAGGGCCAGCCCAGGCCCCUGAAAGCUCUGUGGCGCUCACCCAAGUACGACAAGGUGGAGUCCCGGGUCAAGGCCCAGCUCCAGGAGCCAGGCCUGGGGGUGGACUUCAUUCGUCACA